This 495-nucleotide ribosomal RNA is filed under the name uncultured bacterium. RNAcentral's name for it is "partial 16S ribosomal RNA". It matches the Rfam family "Bacterial small subunit ribosomal RNA", at positions 28 to 507 of the family's 1533-position model. The record is from RNAcentral.
GACGAACGCUGGCGGCGUGCCUAAUACAUGCAAGUAGAACGCUGAAGGAGGAGCUUGCUUCUCUGGAUGAGUUGCGAACGGGUGAGUAACGCGUAGGUAACCUGCCUGGUAGCGGGGGAUAACUAUUGGAAACGAUAGCUAAUACCGCAUAAUAGCAGUUGUUGCAUGACAACUGUUUGAAAGGUGCAAUUGCCCCACUACCAGAUGGACCUGCGUUGUAUUAGCUAGUUGGUGGGGUAACGGCUCACCAAGGCGACGAUACAUAGCCGACCUGAGAGGGUGAUCGGCCACACUGGGACUGAGACACGGCCCAGACUCCUACGGGAGGCAGCAGGAGGGAAUCUUCGGCAAUGGACGGAAGCCUGACCGAGCAACGCCGCGGGAGUGAAGAAGGGUUUCGGAUCGUAAAGCUCUGUUGUAAGAGAAGAACGAGUGUGAGAGUGGAAAGUUCACACUGUGACGGUAGCUUACCAGAAAGAGACGGCUAACUACGUG